RNAcentral lists this ribosomal RNA (491 nucleotides) under uncultured bacterium. Its description in RNAcentral is "partial 16S ribosomal RNA". It matches the Rfam family "Bacterial small subunit ribosomal RNA", at positions 29 to 506 of the family's 1533-position model. The record is from RNAcentral.
AGUGAACGCUGGCGGUAGGCCUAACACAUGCAAGUCGAACGGCAGCACAGUAAGAGCUUGCUCUUACGGGUAGCGAGUGGCGGACGGGUGAGGAAUACAUCGGAAUCUACUUUUUCGUGGGGGAUAACGUAGGGAAACUUACGCUAAUACCGCAUACGACCUACGGGUGAAAGCAGGGGAUCUUCGGACCUUGCGCGAUUGAAUGAGCCGAUGUCGGAUUAGCUAGUUGGCGGGGUAAAGGCCCACCAAGGCGACGAUCCGUAGCUGGUCUGAGAGGAUGAUCAGCCACACUGGAACUGAGACACGGUCCAGACUCCUACGGGAGGCAGCAGUGGGGAAUAUUGGACAAUGGGCGCAAGCCUGAUCCAGCCAUACCGCGUGGGUGAAGAAGGCCUUCGGGUUGUAAAGCCCUUUUGUUGGGAAAGAAAAGCAGCAGGUUAAUACCCCGCUGUUCUGACGGUACCCAAAGAAUAAGCACCGGCUAACUUCGU